CGAGGAAUUUUGCGCAAUGGGCGAAAGCCUGACGCAGCAACGCCGCGUGGGUGAUGAAGGCCUUCGGGUCGUAAAGCCCUUUUGUCGGGGACGAAGUGGUGACGGUACCCGACGAAGAAGCCACGGCUAACUACGUGCCAGCAGCCGCGGUAAUACGUAGGUGGCGAGCGUUGUCCGGAUUUAUUGGGCGUAAAGCGCGCGCAGGUGGUGCGGUAAGUCCUGUGUGAAAUCUCCCGGCUCAACUGGGAGGGUGCGGAGGAGACUGCCGGACUGGAGGCACUCAGAGGCCGGUGGAAUUCCCGGUGUAGUGGUGAAAUGCGUAGAGAUCGGGAGGAACACCAGUGGCGAAGGCGGCCGGCUGGGGGUGACCUGACGCUGAGGCGCGAAAGCGUGGGGAGCGAACCGGAUUAGAUACCCGCGUAGUCC
Molecule: ribosomal RNA, 426 nt
Filed under: uncultured bacterium
Lineage: Bacteria
Description: bacterial SSU rRNA
Rfam family: Bacterial small subunit ribosomal RNA
Source: RNAcentral